Molecule: ribosomal RNA, 204 nt
Filed under: uncultured bacterium
Lineage: Bacteria
Description: partial 16S ribosomal RNA
Rfam family: Bacterial small subunit ribosomal RNA
Source: RNAcentral
AUUGCAGGCUGNAACUCGCAUGCAUGAAGUCGGAAUUGCUAGUAAUCGCAGAUCAGCAUGCUGCGGUGAAUACGUUCCCGGGCCUUGUACACACCGCCCGUCACACCAUGGGAGUCGGUAACACCCGAAGUCGGUAGCCUAACCGUAAGGAGGGCGCCGCCGAAGGUGGGAUUGAUGACUGGGGUGAAGUCGUAACAAGGUAUC